Molecule: ribosomal RNA, 322 nt
Filed under: uncultured eukaryote
Lineage: Eukaryota
Description: partial 18S ribosomal RNA
Rfam family: Eukaryotic small subunit ribosomal RNA
Source: RNAcentral
CCCUUAGAUGUUCUGGGCCGCACGCGUGCUACACUGAGUGGAUCAGCGGGUCAGGUUGCGCGAAAGUGUUUCCUAAUCUUUAAAUCCGCUCGUGAUGGGGAUUGACGGUUGCAAUUUUCCGUCAUGAACGAGGAAUACCUUGUAAGCGCGGGUCAUCAUCCCGCGCUGAAUACGUCCCUGCCCUUUGUACACACCGCCCGUCGCUCCUACCGAUUGAGUGGUCCGGUGAGGCUUUGGGAUCUGAGCGGAAAGAGCGUUUCGCUCCUUUUGCUGGGAGAACUCAGUCGAACCUUAUCAUUUAGAGGAAGGAGAAGUCGUAACA